CUUGGGUAUGUCCUUAUCAGCAGCAUGAAAAUGGACUAAUACAAAUAUGCUGAGUUAAGUCCUGGACAAGAAACACUUUGCCAACCUCUGGACUAGACUGAGUAAAGCAAGCAGAAAGAUCCAAUUUUAAAAAGAGGUGAGGAAAAUGGGACAACUUGGCUAUGGAGAGAGCAAGAAGAAUGCAACUGAUGUGCACAAAGUUUGAAGACAAAGUUACUCAGUUUAGAUCAGGGGUCCACAACCCCCAGCCAUGGACCAGUACUGAUUUGUGGCCUGUUAGGAACUCAGUUGCAGUAGGAGGUGAAUGCCAGAGUUCCCGGAGCCUUCACUGUCUUCAUGAUUAGAUCCCUCCAUACUCUCCAUCACUAAUGCCUUGGCUGGAGAUUACCAUUCAGAGACCAUGUACUGAGCAGAUAAAUGCCAAUCAUCACAGCAUUGUCUCAGGCCUAAAUGAAUAAAGGCAUGACACUGAGAUUGAAGGCUAGUUCUACUUCAGAACCACAGAGACAUGAGCACCAGCAAGUUUGAGGUUGGAUAAGGAUCUUCAGAACUCCUCAGCUUCAGAUGGUCAAGCACUGCUUCCUCCCUUCUUCAACGGCAUCUCUAGCAUGAAGAGGCACAACAGAGUCCAUGCCUUCACCUCCUCUGGCCAACUCUAAUCAUGAAUCUCCUGUGAAUCAGCUGGGAAACAUGCAGAAUAUGAGAUUGGGGCCCUCAUUCAUACUAACUGGAAUUUUCCUUGGCAAUGGUAGAACAGAAGCUUCUCCAUUCUUUACAGAUGAAUUUGCUUUAAGUAAGAUCUUCCCAGAGUACAAAAGAAAUUUAUUCGGAAAAUUUCAAACUAAUAUGGCCUUCUCACUGGAACUGGAUCCACCAUCCCUUUUGCUCAGUGUCGUCUUGUUUAUGUUUUAGAUCCUUUGCAAGGUGAGCUACACCUCUGAGAGGAGCUCCUGGAAAUUACCAGAUACUUAAUGUUGCCAGCUGUUACAGAUGGAGGUGAUGCACCUUGAUGAUGCAUAAGUACUGAGCCUGAAUCCUACAAAUGGGAAAAGGUGCUCAUAUCAGACUUAUGCAUUAGAUAUCAAACUACAAAAUACAAGUGCAGUUGAUACCUGUUUAGAUGAUGUAGAGCAAGGUAACAGAGUAUGUAUUAAAAGCAAAAAUUCCCAUGAAGCUGAACCGUUACUCUCUGCCAAAACCUCCCACUCUCAAGUUUUAAGAGCCAAUAAACCUUGUAUCUGUACGUUCA
This 1249-nucleotide long non-coding RNA is filed under the name Homo sapiens (human). Its description in RNAcentral is "HSALNT0390659". Lineage: Eukaryota; Metazoa; Chordata; Mammalia; Primates; Hominidae. The record is from RNAcentral.